RNAcentral lists this small RNA (655 nucleotides) under Pan troglodytes (chimpanzee). Its description in RNAcentral is "processed transcript". Lineage: Eukaryota; Metazoa; Chordata; Mammalia; Primates; Hominidae. The record is from RNAcentral.
UCUGACUUUGAGCCAGGACUUGAAGCAGACACUAUGGCUCAUGCAGAAAAGAAACUUCUUCCCACAAGACUGCCAGCGAAAUUUUGCAGACUCAAGAUGUUCGGAAAGUUUGGACAAUCAUCACAGUUUUUGGACGCCUAUCUGAGACCAUCUUCUGUGAAGUUUAUUCAGCUCAUAAGUGUGAAUAAAAAAUUGCUAAAUGUGAAUUCAAAGAGACAGUGCAGUUUUACAUCUGAGUCCACUGAAUGCAUCACAGAAGCAGCAUAUGCAGCAACAGGAGUCUAAUAGCGUCAACCACCAGGAAACAAGGAUCACGGAGCAUGUGAGAAAAUGGUAAUUGAGAAGUCUGAUCAAGGAACACACUAAAAUUGGAGGCAUGAAACACUUGCAAAAUUGUCCCAGUGGUCCAUCUGGGGAUCCUGGGAACAAGUGUCUUUCAAGCCAUGACCAGUCUUUCUACUUCUUCCUCAUACUUUGUAUCUGGCUUGCGUACAUGUCACAGAAUCAGGUACUAAAACAAGAGGUGAUACAGAAAUAAGCUAUCCCAAAUAUAGCAUUAAGUGAAACAAACACAUCGUAUACUAGUUAUUAUAUCCGGAAGUUUGCUAAAGCUGCCAUAACAAAAUAUUAUAGAGUGGUGGCUUAAACAACAGAA